RNAcentral lists this microRNA precursor (94 nucleotides) under Triticum aestivum (bread wheat). RNAcentral's name for it is "miR9653 stem-loop (tae-MIR9653a)". Lineage: Eukaryota; Viridiplantae; Streptophyta; Magnoliopsida; Poales; Poaceae. The record is from miRBase by way of RNAcentral.
CCAUCGCUUUGGUUCCCAGGCCAUGGCCAAGGUCUCGUGAGGUUCGCGUGACCUUUGAGACUUUGGCCAUGGCCAUGGUGGCCAUGGCAUGUUG